AUACGUAGGGAGCAAGCGUUGUCCGGAUUUACUGGGUGUAAAGGGUGCGUAGGCGGCUUAUCAAGUCAGGCGUGAAAUAUAUGGGCUUAACCCAUAGACUGCGUUUGGAAACUGAUGAGCUUGAGUGAAGUAGAGGUAGGCGGAAUUCCCGGGUGUAGCGGUGAAAUGCGUAGAGAUCGGGAGGAACACCAGUGGCGAAGGCGGCCUACUGGGCUUUAACUGACGCUGAGGCACGAAAGCAUGGGUAGC
This 249-nucleotide ribosomal RNA is filed under the name uncultured bacterium. RNAcentral's name for it is "partial 16S ribosomal RNA". It matches the Rfam family "Bacterial small subunit ribosomal RNA", at positions 523 to 769 of the family's 1533-position model. The record is from RNAcentral.